RNAcentral lists this ribosomal RNA (242 nucleotides) under uncultured bacterium. RNAcentral's name for it is "partial 16S ribosomal RNA". It matches the Rfam family "Bacterial small subunit ribosomal RNA", at positions 1259 to 1500 of the family's 1533-position model. The record is from RNAcentral.
GAAGGCAAGCGGAUCUCUUAAAGCCGUUCUCAGUUCGGACUGUAGGCUGCAACUCGCCUACACGAAGCUGGAAUCGCUAGUAAUCGCGAAUCAGAAUGUCGCGGUGAAUACGUUCCCGGGUCUUGUACACACCGCCCGUCACACCACGAGAGUUUACAACACCCGAAGUCAGUGGCCUAACCGCAAGGAGGGAGCUGCCUAAGGUGGGGUAGAUGAUUGGGGUGAAGUCGUAACAAGGUAUC